RNAcentral lists this long non-coding RNA (516 nucleotides) under Phoenix dactylifera (date palm). RNAcentral describes it as "long non-coding RNA (PDAC_LNC010660)". Lineage: Eukaryota; Viridiplantae; Streptophyta; Magnoliopsida; Arecales; Arecaceae. The record is from RNAcentral.
CAAUUGGAAGUUGGCAUUUCAGAGCUUGGCUUCAGGCAGUCUGAGGCCUGUUUUAUCAUUCAGAGAGAUUUUGGGUUGAGUUUUUACUAUUGUGAGAAAUCAGCUUCCUUGCAGUUGUUCCCCCACCCUCAUAAGAACACGGUAAUGAUCAACAGGGUCUAAAUAUCCCACUAAAUUCUGAACCCCCUCCAAAGACCGAGAGUCUGAACAGACCUGCUGCUUCUAUUAUUGUUUGAGCUGGUUCAAACUAAAAUUCUUUUAUUCUGUAUCGGAUAUCUCUAAAUAAAUUACCAUUUGAUUUGACUUAUAUUCUGAAUGGCAGUAUGAGAACAAAGAUCAGAGCAGAGAAAUUUAGAAAAAAAUAAAGAAAAAAAAGAAAUUUGUUAGUUGCAAAAAAAAUCUGAGAUUGGAACUUUUGGUUUUUCAUUAAAAUUCAUUUUGUGUUAUCUUAAAAAAUAAAGGAAUAUUCAUGCAAAAAAUUAUAAAUUAUAUGAGGUUUUCAAUUGUCUCUUGGAC